UACGGAGGGUGCAAGCGUUGUCCGGAUUCAUUGGGUUUAAAGGGUGCGUAGGCGGCCCUGUAAGUCAGCGGUGAAAUACCCACGCUCAACGUGGGAACUGCCGUUGAUACUGCGGGGCUUGAGUUCGUGCGAGGUCGCUGGAAUGCGUGGUGUAGCGGUGAAAUGCAUAGAUAUCACGCAGAACACCGAUUGCGAAGGCAGGUGACUGGCACGCGACUGACGCUGAGGCACGAAAGUGUGGGGAGCAAACAGG
Molecule: ribosomal RNA, 253 nt
Filed under: uncultured bacterium
Lineage: Bacteria
Description: partial 16S ribosomal RNA
Rfam family: Bacterial small subunit ribosomal RNA
Source: RNAcentral